UAUUUUGCUUAUUAUGAGUUUAAUGAGCUUCACCUGGCUGGCCUGGGAAUUAACCACUGUUUGUAACAACAUUUCUGUGGGAAAAUGUGUUUCAAGUUUCAAACACUUGACUUAAAUGUAAACUUUUGGAAAAUACUUGGUUCUCAAGUUGGAAAAUAUAUUAAUGAGCAUUUAGUUUCUAAAAAGAAAUAGAUUAUCCCCAAGCUCAUCAAGCAAAACCCAAAUACUUCCAGAUAUUCUGCUACCAAGACAGGUUAACAUACAUAUCAGAUUUAUGUGGAAAGAAGGCAAGAUAGUCACAUUAAAUUAAAGGCGUUGAAAUUUCCAUCAUGCUGGUGCUUCGUUUUUAAAAGUACUUAAGCAGAAUUAUCUUUUCAAAUAAGUUUUUUCAAAUAUUUAUUUAUUUACUUACUUAUUCAUUUAUUUAUUUAUUUUUUAUUAUUUUUAAAUUUUUGGCUGCAUUGGGUCUUUGUUGCUGCGUGUGGGCUUUCUCUAGUUGCGGCGAGUGGGGGCUACUCUUUGUUGUGGUGCGUGGGCUUCUCAUUGCAGUGGCUUCUCUUGUUGCGGAGCACGGUCUCUAGGUGUGCAAGCUUCAGUAGUUGUGGCACGCGGGCUCAGUAGUUGUGGCACGCGGGCUUAGCUGCUCCACGGCAUGUGGGAUCUUCCCGGACCAGGGAUCGAACCCAUGUCCCCUGCCUUGGCAGGCAGAUUCUUAACCACUGUGCCACCAGGGAAGUCCCUCAAAUAAUUUAAAAAAUUUAUUUUGUACUUUAGAUUUUAAAAAAUAAACUUUGUUUCUUUCAAGUUUUAGAUUUAUAGAAAAAUUGCAAAGAUAGUACAGAAAGUUCCCAUAUACCCCACACCAUUUCCCCUGUUAACAUCUUAUGGUACAUUUGUUAUAAUUGAUGAACCACUAUUGAUACAUUAGGUUUCCUCGGUUUAUACCUAAUAUAUUUUUCUGUUCCAGGAUCCCAUCUAGGACAUGAUAUUACAUUUAGUCAUCAUGUCUCCUUGAGCUUCUCUUGUCUGCGACAGUUUCUCAGACUUCCCUUAGUUUUGUUGACCUUGGCAGUUUUGAGGAGUACUCAAACUGGUCAGCUUCUUCAACGAGUUCAGGGUGGUUGUACCAACUCCUGGCUUCACACACAAACUCCACUAGAAGGGAUGCUUUAA
This 1173-nucleotide long non-coding RNA is filed under the name Monodon monoceros (narwhal). RNAcentral's name for it is "lncRNA (ENSMMNG00015018711.1)". The record is from RNAcentral. Lineage: Eukaryota; Metazoa; Chordata; Mammalia; Artiodactyla; Monodontidae.